GAACAGCAGCAACUUCCUUUGGCCUCACCAAAGUGACUUAAGCCUCCAGCAGUAGUCUUUUGGGAGUCCCUGGCUGAAACUAAGACAUAACUAAUCUCUCCUCCAUUUGCAUAUGAAAUGAUCUGCUCUGCUACAUCAUUUAGCUUCCUGACUUCCUCUUCAUGUCCUACAGAAAGGCUCAGGAGCAGACUGCUGCCAGGAAAGCUCAGGAAGCCACCUCUCUGCUUAUUGACUACUGAUCACUUCAUCAUCAGGUUAAAGAAGACAGUAAUAUGUGUGUAUGAUUAUGGUCCUCAGUCUCCAAAGUUCUCUUUUCUGAACCUGGAACAAAUACAGAAAAAAGCAUUGUCCCCUUCCACAGAGAAGUGGAAGAACAAUCCACAUGAUUGACUUGCAACUGAGUAAGGACUAAGGAGCCUAAGAUUAGGAGAACCUUCAGAUAACACUUGUAAGGAAUAUAUUCCUUGAGCUUGGAAAUAAAGAGGAAGAAGAGGGAAAUGGCCA
Molecule: long non-coding RNA, 504 nt
Filed under: Anser brachyrhynchus (Pink-footed goose)
Lineage: Eukaryota; Metazoa; Chordata; Aves; Anseriformes; Anatidae
Description: lncRNA (ENSABRG00000001653.1)
Source: RNAcentral